Molecule: long non-coding RNA, 8237 nt
Filed under: Triticum aestivum (bread wheat)
Lineage: Eukaryota; Viridiplantae; Streptophyta; Magnoliopsida; Poales; Poaceae
Description: long non-coding RNA (TAES_LNC022186)
Source: RNAcentral
AUAUGCCAUGUUUUGAUUGAACUCGUGCCAUGCUUAGAUUAUGUCAUGAUCAAGAUGCUAUGCUAUGCCAGGUUUUGCCGUUGCCAUGUUAGAAGUAAAUUUGAUAUGCCAUGUUAUUUCCAUGUUAGUAGAUGCUAUGAUGUUGUUCAUGCUCAGUUGAUCUAUAUCAUGCCAUGUUUAGUAAUUGAUAUGAGAUAGGUUGAUGCAUACGCUUGGUUCCUGCUUUGUCUUCUGUUUGUUUGGAUGCUAUGUAUUUGGUUGUCUUGCAAGUACAUUCAAUAUACUGACCUGGCGUGUCAUGCCAGUUUUGUAGGUCGUGCUCGAAAUUUCGUUGUUUCGUCAUGCUAGGCCGUAAUCUUGUCAGUCCUGUGAGUUGUGGAGCCCAGCCAGAGUGAUAUGCUGCCAAGACUUCCGCCGCCAUUUAAAUAGACUUUUGCUGUCAUGUAAAUAGCCUUAGGGCUAUGCUAGAAGAUUAUAUUCAUCACUGAUGUAAUCAUAUACACAUGUAUUUGAUGAAUAUUCUUGUACCUGGAAUGUUGUAUCAUGGACCUGUCGUGCGUCACGUGUUAUCCUGGGCUGACGUGCGAAGGCCCCCUGUUCCAUGCGGAUCGGGGUGCCACAGGGCUUGGUACCAGAGCAGCCAGGCUGGCGUAGAUUAUCCGAGCAUUAGAUCACCGCUACCAUCAACCCAUAAUGAACCUAAGGGAUUUGACCCAUCCCUAGCAUCCGGCAUGGCCACUGUUAAUCAACAGGUGGCGCAGUUGGGACCGACACGACCUCACCCUGCUGUCCCCGCCUAGUUAUCCGUGGAACAUGCAGCAAUCCUAUCCUUUCUGGUCGGCCGCACCACUUUCCCUUCACCAGUAAGGGAAAGGGGCCACACCAUGCGGGCCUGUCCCGCGUAGCUGCCUAUGAAACCCCCUUUCCGCUAGCCGUUUCGCUCGCUCCUCAAUCCGCCAUGUCCCUGCAGAGAAGCUUAGCUAGUAACUCCCCAGUCAUGACUAGCAGCUCCAAAACUUCCACAUAUUACACCCGCACCUAUGCCGUCGACCACCCUGGCUUUCCACCCCUUCUUGCCGAGAUGCUCACCAAAGCCUUUGGCGGUAAGACUAGUCCCGAUUACCUGGUGUUCCAAUCGGCACCCGUCCCUCACCUUCAUCGCUUUGUUGCAAGAGUGCACAUCAGCCUAGGUCCUGCAGCAGAUGUCCAACCUUUGGUUUUAUAGGGUAGAGCCAUGCCUACCUCUGAUUUAGCCAUUCAAGCCGCUGCUGUGGAGGCUAUCCUACACCUCUGAACCAAGUUCCCGCAUGUUGCAACAAGGCGGGAGUUCUGCUUUUCCCCACUGUGGCAAAAGCAGUAAUGCAGCCUUCUCCCGUUAGCCAAGGAGAUGAUCCCGCAAUCGCUCGCCUGGUGCAAUACAUCACUGCCCAGGGGAUGUUGAUUUCAAAGAUGCUUGCCGAGUUUAGAACCAUGGACAAUAAUGUGGUACGAUUCGUCACGUAAGCUUACCGUGAGGCUCGUAAGUUCGCAUCUCAAGCUGUUUGCCCAACGCCAUCCGAACCAGUGCUAUCCUCUCAACCUGUGCUGUGGCCCAAGCCAAACAUCAUCACCCUUGACAAGGCUCUUCUCCAGAUCCACCAGCAUCAUUUUCCUGGAUCAAUUUCAGCCCCACCGCCCCAACCCAUAGAAGUGUCAGACGAUGAAGAUGGAGAUUGGCUUAGUCUUUGUCCUCCUGGUGAGCCCCAGCAAGGCCAGUCUUCUGUAUGACCUCAGUCACGUAGUCAGUGGUUCCUGCUAGUCGAUCGGUCUGUCGGUUCGUCCCCGAUAUGAGGACAGAACCAUGUAUUCCCGGAGUGAGUAGUUUCGAUUAGCGCGUAGCGCAUUUGUGCUUUGAUGUAUGUUGGUACUGUUGUAACCCGUAUGUUGUGUUAUUUGCUUGCUUGAUUUUGUUUGUGUGUUUGUUUUUGCUUGUCUCUCUGUCAAACAGAAAUGUUUGACAGGGUUGACAAUGUGUGCUAACAAGAUUCUAAUCAGUAUGACACAUACACUAAAAACAACAUUGACUCGUUCCGAGUCUCUAAUAAAAUGCGCGCUGGUGUAGGUAUAUGUAUACCAGGAUUACAUAUACCCACUAGCAUUAAAACACCUUAGUGUGAUUUGUCUGGUGUGUUUUUCCGUUGCAUGUUUUUGCAUCUAUCUGUUUGUUUAUAUUUUACUGCAUACUGCACGCAUACCCGGUUCACCCACGAGUACAGUUGAGCAGUACUCGGGGAAUGCAAAGUCACAUAUCCCCCUCUAUCUGUGCAUACCCCGUGUGACAGGUUUUCCAAACCCAGAACCUCAAAGAGGCCAUUGUCAUCUGGCCAUUUCUCCUCCCUUAUUCUUUUUCAUGAGCCCAAUUGUGUUUCCAGAGGAACACUGCCAGCUUUAUUUUUCGCGAUCCAUUACAACUCCCCGAUACAGAUUUCAACUCCGAUUCUACCUCGACACCUACAUUUCAUAGAGCAAUCCACGAAAUCUUUCCCGUGCCCUAGUUUAACUCCUAAGCUGGCGUAGUCACCGCACCUGCAUCCGAACCCUUCCCCACCACCAUCACUGCCUUGCGUGGCGCCGCAAGUCACCACCACCGCAGCACGCGAUUACUCCGCCGGCGCGAGGCGACGGAGAACCAAGCGUAGCGCAGGACCACCUCAUGCACCAUCUUCUUCCGCACCUCGAGCCACAACACCCCGCUACGCAUUGUCUCGAGCCCGCUCGUUCCUGAUGAGUAUCACUAGGAGGAUCGCCGAGCUGAUCAGCAUGCCCAGCAGUGCCGCGAAGAACAACCGUAGCGCCACCAAGAACACCUCCUCGCCGCAGGAUCUCGACUCAAUCUCGCCCAAACUGAAGAGGUAGUAGAGUGGCAUUGUGUUUGUGUGUUGGAAGCGAGCCGCGCUACCGUUUUUAUAGCCCAACCCUGGUGAACGGUGAGCUGAGUCCAGGAAAAUCGCUCGUCGCCCGAUCACCGGCGUCCAGGAGGCGAAUCCGCAAGCAGUGCCGACAAGGUGCUGGCCCACGACGUGAGUGCUCGCUGCACCGGCGUCGUGCACGUCGCGCACUACGUCUCUAGGGCCCUCAUCGCCCUAGGAGCUAGAUGCGCGCUGCACCAAGCCGCACGUGAAGUAGCAGCACAGGAGAAGCAGCUAGCCGGAGGUAGAAGAAGGAGGCUGCCAGUGGGCCCAGGACCCACGUGUCAGCAGGUGAAUCCACUGUUCACUGGGGUGCAUCUAGCAUUUUUUUGAGAGUUUGAUCUUGAAUGCCCCUAGCCGUGGAUAUAAUCAUAUUUGCCCAUAUCUCUCCUUGGGUGUACCAAUUAUCGGUGCCCCAACUCGUUCAAAUUCAACCAAAGGGUUAAAAUUAACCCAGAGAUUUUUUCCCCGGAGUGGUUAUGUUUUCUUUGUGCUGUAACCCUAGGAAUCUCGGGGACGAGAUUCUUUUUAAGGUGGGAAGGUUUGUAACAACCACAAAAUUGGGUUAUCAAUUUUUGUGUUGUUAUUCCUUCCUGGCACUCCUUUUCAAAAUCUUUCUCCUGAGUUUUGUUGGAUGACUCUGAGGCUUCUUGUCAUUUGCAACCUUUCAAAACUUGUUCAUGUCUUUUUUAGUGGGCAAGACCUCGGUUGCAGCAUCUUAAACCCUCUCAAACCCUAAUUCCAAAAAAAUUGGAAUUUGAAUGUGGCCUUUUUGAUUACAAAGCAGCCAUCAUUUUCCUUGAUCUGUUGCUCACCCCAUCUGUUCCUUGAGACCCCCUAUCCUUUUCAACCUUGGAUAUGCAAAAAUAUUGCCAAGUCCCAUGCAAUAUUUUUGAAUUAUGAUUUAUUCCUUUACUUGCCUUUCUGAGGAAUAAAAUCCAAAGGCAUAGCUAGCCAUCUCCUAAAUUCAUGUGAAUUGGUAGAGUUGAUAAUUAUGCCUAAUCCAAGCUCUGGCAAUUAUAUUGGCCAUAAUUAAAUAAGGAAAAUUGACUUUUCUUAUUUAAUGCCAAUAUUCCAAUUCUGCCAUUUUCUAAAGGAACUACUAUUUUUAUAGCAGAUAAAAUUCCCACAUAAAUUGUGGAGCUUGUCCUUGCUAUAUAAUCACUAGUUUCAUCUUUAUCUCAUGUUCCAUAGAUAAAAAUUGGGCACAUGAUCCAAUGCAAGAUUAUGCCCUCUCUGGAAUUUUGCAAAGGAAGUGCUUUAUUCCUAAUUCCUUAUGAGCUGAAAUUUGGUAGGGUGAUGAAUAUUGAUAAAUAACCCAUGGACACCAAAGAUGAACUCAAUCCAAUCAUCUUAGCUCCUAGUGCAAUUUUUCAAAGUUUCUGACCAGAUUGUCACUUUGUGAAGGAAGUACCUUCAUAGUGUUCUCAAAUGGGAUGCAACUUUGCCAUCUUCUCAUGUGUCCCAAAUCAUUAGCCUCCACCCAAAUUCAGCUCAUUUCAUUGAGCUAUGUGAGCACAGGAGCAAUUCUGGUUUUCUGUCCAAAAUUUCAGUUUGUGAAGCAAGUAUAUUUUAUCUUGCUCCAUUAUGUCUGAAAAUAGUACCAAGCCUUCUACUAUCCCUAUAACCCACCUACCCAAGAGUUUGGCUAAUUUCAUUUGGCCAAUAUUUUCCUAGAAUUUUCCCAAGUUUCUGGUCAAAAGUGAUGCUUGUGAAGCAAGCACCAAUUUGGCAAGUCCAUUUGGUCUGAUCUUUUUACAGCAUCUACUUAUGACAAAAUCAUGAGGAUUUGCAAAGUUAUAGCUCAAUCCAACACUCUGAGUGUCUGCUUGUUCAUCAUCUAGUUUCUGGACCAGAAUUGGUAAUUGCACCGCAACUAUAUUAAAUCUAUGUCCUAAUGAUCUCAUAAUUACCAGGACCAUAGUCCUUGCUACCCUAAGCCUGCCAGACAUCAAUUUUACCAUUUAACCUCUCUGGUUUUACCUCUAGGAUGUUGCCAAGUUUGCAGCAGCAAACUAGUGGAGCUUGGUUUACUCAGCUCCAUUUGUCUGUGCCCAAAUCUUUAUGUGGUAAUACUCCACUUUGGAAGGACUACACGGUAGACAUGAGCUGGCAUCAGUAAAAACUCCAGAGCAUGCCAUGUCCGUGGUGAUCACGAGGGCAGCCAGCCAAAACGAUGGUCUAGCCACUGUUGGCCUCGGCAUCAUUGCUCCAGCUGGAUUUGGCUCGUCCCCGCAUGUCCAGUAGCUCCGCCUCGUUGUUGUUGUUCGCCUGGACCCCGCCCCCCCCUCCAUUUUCUUCUCCGGCGAGCCGUGCCAAAGGUCGAAUAGUGAGCGCCCGUGUGCACCAUCGCCUUCCUCCUCUGUCUUCUUCCUCCCUGAGCCUCGUUGGUGUUUCGUUGCUCCGUGAGCCUCUGCUGCUCGGCUGCAUCCUCCUCUUUGCCUUCCCGCCGCUUCUCGUGCGCCCUCGUGACUGCUGCGGCCGGCAGAGCCUCAGCCGGAUGCGCUCGGCGGUGCCUGGCUUGGGUGCCCCUGUCUCGGCUAUUUAUAGCCAGCCCGAGCCCUCCUCGAGCAAGCCAGCCCCUCCCCUCUCCCUCUGGAGCCCUCUCAUACCCGUGCCCGGCCGAAUCCCUCGCUGGAGCCCGGCAAUUUAGCCGGAGUUCGUCCACGGCCUCCGCGCCAAACCCCUCCCUCCAGCCGUCCCCUGCCCCAUCCGAGGCCAUGGAUGGACGCGCCACUCUCCGACGACCGUCCCUAGCCUGUUGCCCCCCUCAUUCCCCCACCGGAGUCACCCCAAUCACCGAGCCCCGCCGUCCUCUAUCUCCUCCGUCGCCGCAUCUCCAAGCCCUACCCGCCAUCGUUCUACCCUUAGGUGGGCGCGGUGCACGCCGGCGACCCCUUCCCCGUUGCUCCCUGGUCGGAUAGCUCAUUGGAGCGACGAGGCUACGCCGGUGCCGACGCCCUUGCUUCUGUGUCGGGAAGCAGGGGAGAAGAAGGAGGAAUGAGGCGUUGACCUGGCCAGGCAGGCCAGGUGGGACCCGCGCUUUUGCCCCGACCCCACCUGGCAGCGACCCUGGCACCCGGCCCCGCCUCUGCCACUUUGACUGGUCCAAUGCCAUGUCAGAUAAGUGGCGGUGCCCACCGCAAAGCCGUUUUCCUGCGAUGAAAAUGUAUUCUUAGAAAGACGCGUUCUGUUUAAACUACCAGGGACCUGUUUGUAGAAAUAUUUUUAUAGAUUAGUCCCUAAGCUUUAAAUGUCCGUAUCUUUUCAAACGUAGCUCCAAAUCAGGUGAUUCCAAAGCCCAUGUCUUCGUUUUGUCGAGCCCUUUCUGAUGGAAUCAUUUUCACCAUGUUUGCACAUUCUAAAAAUGACCAUUUUGCCCUUGCCGUAAUCAGCCCCCCGAGAGAGAACUGUUCCCGGCAAAUCUUCCCGCGAUCGUUUCACACUUCUUCCCGGAGUAUUUGUCAACCCCCAGGCAAUCCAACCUCUUAUCAUGAGCCCCGAACUUGCAUGUUGACUUUGAUUGCAGCUUGUGUGUGUGUAGUUACAGUUGUUUACUAUCGUUUUCGUUUGCAGUCAUUUCAUUAUGCCUAUCAUGCAUGCUUGUGUUUUCAUGAUAUCUUUUGCCAUGCUAAUUAAAAUAUUGUUAUUGAUAAUGCCAUGUCACUACUCUACUUCAUUUUCAUGACAUCGUUAUAAAAUGCUAUGAUGAUUGUAAUCCACCGUGGAUAUGUUAGUACUUGGUAUUGUCAUGUUCUUUAUGUUGUAGUGGUUCACUUGAGAAGCUCAAUAUUUUAUUAAAGCAUUUGUAUGAUGUAUGCUCAUUGUUGCAUUCAUGUUCAUGAUGAUGGAGAAGGAAAUAAAAUGACUUCAUGAUAACAAACCUCCUCUGUCAUUGAUGGGAUUGAGUCAUAGUGCCACCAAAUUGAACUUUUCAAGUGCUGCCACAUUUGCCUUUAUGGGAAGGCCUUAAUACAAUCUAUUGUCGUGCCUCUCGUUGGUGCCUCCAAUGAGGGAAGGUUAUGGGCACGCGCUACCCUGGUCAGGUAGGCGGACAUAAGCCUUGUGUGCCCGUUGUUGUUGUUAUGGUAUCGGGUCUCCGUGUGGGAUCGUUUAUGUUUUGGCCACGACAGUGGUCGUUGUGUCUUUGGUAGACACGGGGCCACCUAGGACUAGCCCAAUGGGGAGUGAGUCGGAGUGGCCGGGAGAGUGUCAUGACCUUUGGUCGGUUUCAUCGGAAUGCCGUUGGUGCACCCGAAUGGGAUGACGAUGCCAUCGGUUCCAUGGUAUGGGUACAGUGCACUACCACUGCAGAGUGUUUAUAAAGUCUAUCGAUAGCAACACAGUUCAUAGUAGGUCAGACUAUUGGGUCUUGGUCGAAUGGAGGAUAAACCUAAAAUAAUUAAGCUAGUAAUGUGGUAACAAGAAUGUGGUGACUUGGACUUUGAGAUAGUCAUGAGAAGUCACGGCAAUGUUUGGAUAUGAUCACGAGACGAGGUCUCGGUGAGUGUUGGAGACCAAGUGUUGGUCAUGGUUGUCAUUGCCGAAAGGAUCACCGUUUAAGGCCAAAUAUUGGUCGUGGUUGUGAUCGCCGGAAAGAUCACGAGAUAUCACUAGUUAAGACCUUGAGGUUGGUACGUUUGUGAUCCAUGAGUGAUCACCGUUCGGUUGCAAGGAAAUCCUUUGGUAAGAGAGUCCGAGGGACUCGGUGCACAAGUUUGGUUGCAUUGCAUGAGUAGUAAGUUUUUAUUUGCAUUUAAAGAACCAUGGGAGAACAUGAGAUGAUUGAAUGAAGGUAGCAUGUUAUGUCUGCAUUGGAUAUGAUUGGUAGCUUAUUUUCAGAAUAGUUUCAGGAUACCAUGCUAUGUUUGGAUUGAGUAUAUGCCAUGUUUUGAUUGAACUGGUGCCAUGCUUAGAUUAUGUCAUGAUCAAGAUACUAUGCUAUGCCAGGUUUUGCCGUUGCCAUGUUAGAAGUAAAUUUGAUAUGCCAUGUUAUUUCCAUGUUAGUAGGUGCUAUGAUGUUAUUCAUGCUCAGUUGAUCUAUAUCAUGCCAUGUUUAGUAAUUGAUAUGAGAUAGGUUGUUGCAUACACUUGGUUCCUGCUUUCUCUUCUAUUUGUUUGGAUGCUAUGUAUUUGGUUGUCUUGCAAGUACAUUCAAUGUACUGACCUGGCGUGUCAUGCCAAUUUUGUAGGUCGUGCUCGAAUUGUUCGUUGUUCCGUCGUGCUAGGCCGUAAUCUUGUCAGUCCUGUGAGUUGUGGAGCCCAGCCAGAGUGAUAUGCUGCCAAGAC